This 390-nucleotide ribosomal RNA is filed under the name uncultured bacterium. RNAcentral describes it as "bacterial SSU rRNA". It matches the Rfam family "Bacterial small subunit ribosomal RNA", at positions 28 to 418 of the family's 1533-position model. The record is from RNAcentral.
GACGAACGCUGGCGGCGUGCUUAACACAUGCAAGUCGAGCGGUAAGGCCCUUUCGGGGGUACACGAGCGGCGAACGGGUGAGUAACACGUGGGUGACCUGCCCUCAGCUCUGGGAUAAGCCUGGGAAACCGGGUCUAAUACCGGAUAUGACUCCAUGACGCAUGUUGUGGGGUGGAAAGCCUUGUGCGGCUGAGGAUGGGCCCGCGGCCUAUCAGCUUGUUGGUGGGGUGAUGGCCUACCAAGGCGACGACGGGUAGCCGGCCUGAGAGGGCGACCGGGCCACACUGGGACUGAGACACGGCCCAGACUCCUACGGGAGGCAGCAGUGGGGAAUCUUGCGCAAUGGGCGAAAGCCUGACGCAGCGACGCCGCGUGAGGGAUGACGGCCUC